AAACGUAGGAGGCGAGCGUUAUCCGGAUUUAUUGGGCGUAAAGGGCAAGUAGGCGGUAGGCAAAGUUGGUUGUGACAUCUCCCGGCUCAACUGGGAGGGUGCGGCCAAAACUAGCAUACUAGAGGGCAGAAGAGGGAAGUGGAAUUCCUGGUGUAGCGGUGGAAUGCUCAGAUACCAGGAGGAACACUAGUGGCGAAGGCGGCUUCCUGGUCUGCACCUGACGCUGAGAGGCGAAAGCUAGGGGAGCGAACGGGCUUAGAUACCCCGGUAGUCCUAGCCGUAAACGUUGGAUACUGGGUAUUUGGGAGGUAAGACUUCUGAGUGCCGAAGCAAACGCGUUAAGUAUCCCGCCUGGGGACUACGGCCGCAAGGUUAAA
RNAcentral lists this ribosomal RNA (377 nucleotides) under uncultured bacterium. Its description in RNAcentral is "bacterial SSU rRNA". It matches the Rfam family "Bacterial small subunit ribosomal RNA", at positions 523 to 898 of the family's 1533-position model. The record is from RNAcentral.